RNAcentral lists this ribosomal RNA (478 nucleotides) under uncultured bacterium. RNAcentral describes it as "partial 16S ribosomal RNA". It matches the Rfam family "Bacterial small subunit ribosomal RNA", at positions 28 to 507 of the family's 1533-position model. The record is from RNAcentral.
GAUGAACGCUGGCGGCGUGCUUAACACAUGCAAGUCGAACGGGAAACCUUUUAUUGAAGCUUCGGCAGAUUUAGCUGGUUUCUAGUGGCGGACGGGUGAGUAACGCGUGGGUAACCUGCCUUAUACAGGGGGAUAACAACCAGAAAUGGUUGCUAAUACCGCAUAAGCGCACAGGACCGCAUGGUCCGGUGUGAAAAACUCCGGUGGUAUAAGAUGGACCCGCGUUGGAUUAGCUAGUUGGCAGGGUAACGGCCUACCAAGGCGACGAUCCAUAGCCGGCCUGAGAGGGUGAACGGCCACAUUGGGACUGAGACACGGCCCAGACUCCUACGGGAGGCAGCAGUGGGGAAUAUUGCACAAUGGGGGAAACCCUGAUGCAGCGACGCCGCGUGAAGGAAGAAGUAUCUCGGGAUGUAAACUUCUAUCAGCAGGGAAGAUAGUGACGGUACCUGACUAAGAAGCCCCGGCUAACUACGUG